Molecule: ribosomal RNA, 429 nt
Filed under: Chloroflexota bacterium
Lineage: Bacteria; Bacillati; Chloroflexota
Description: Chloroflexi bacterium partial 16S ribosomal RNA
Rfam family: Bacterial small subunit ribosomal RNA
Source: RNAcentral
UGGGGAAUAUUGCACAAUGGGCGCAAGCCUGAUGCAGCCAUGCCGCGUGUGUGAAGAAGGCCUUCGGGUUGUAAAGCACUUUCAGCGGGGAGGAAGGCGAUAAGGUUAAUAACCUUGUCGAUUGACGUUACCCGCAGAAGAAGCACCGGCUAACUCCGUGCCAGCAGCCGCGGUAAUACGGAGGGUGCAAGCGUUAAUCGGAAUUACUGGGCGUAAAGCGCACGCAGGCGGUCUGUCAAGUCGGAUGUGAAAUCCCCGGGCUCAACCUGGGAACUGCAUUCGAAACUGGCAGGCUAGAGUCUUGUAGAGGGGGGUAGAAUUCCAGGUGUAGCGGUGAAAUGCGUAGAGAUCUGGAGGACUACCGGUGGCGAAGGCGGCCCCCUGGACAAAGACUGACGCUCAGGUGCGAAAGCGUGGGGAGCAAACAGG